GGCGCGGUGGCCUAAUGGUAAGGCGUCGCUUUCCGGCCACGGAGAGCUCCCAAAGAGUGUUUGGCGAAGAUUGUGGGUUCGAGUCCCAUCCGCGUCG
Phyllosticta citribraziliensis is the source of this 97-nucleotide non-coding RNA. NCBI's taxonomy places the organism in Eukaryota, Fungi, Ascomycota, Dothideomycetes, Botryosphaeriales, Phyllostictaceae. The record is from the annotation of a GenBank genome assembly.